Molecule: ribosomal RNA, 490 nt
Filed under: uncultured bacterium
Lineage: Bacteria
Description: partial 16S ribosomal RNA
Rfam family: Bacterial small subunit ribosomal RNA
Source: RNAcentral
AUUGAACGCUGGCGGCAGGCCUAACACAUGCCAGUCGAACGGUAACAGGAAGCAGCUUGCUGCUUCGCUGACGAGUGGCGGACGGGUGAGUCAUGUCUGGGACACUGCUUGAUGGAGGGGGAUAACUACUGGAAACGGUAGCUAAUACCGCAUAACGUCGCAAGACCAAAGAGGGGGACCUUAGGGCCUCUUGCCAUCGGAUGUGCCCAGAUGGGAUUAGCUAGUAGGUGGGGUAACGGCUCACCUAGGCGACGAUCCCUAGCUGGUCUGAGAGGAUGACCAGCCACACUGGAACUGAGACACGGUCCAGACUCCUACGGGAGGCAGCAGUGGGGAAUAUUGCACAAUGGGCGCAAGCCUGAUGCAGCCAUGCCGCGUGUAUGAAGAAGGCCUUCGGGUUGUAAAGUACUUUCAGCGGGGAGGAAGGGAGUAAAGUUAAUACCUUUGCUCAUUGACGUUACCCGCAGAAGAAGCACCGGCUAACUCCGUG